Molecule: non-coding RNA, 73 nt
Organism: Trichonephila clavata
Lineage: Eukaryota; Metazoa; Arthropoda; Arachnida; Araneae; Nephilidae
Source: the annotation of a GenBank genome assembly
AUCCCUGAAGCGCUAUAGAUAGCGCGUUGGGUUACUAAUCCAAAGGAAUUGGGUUCGAAUCUCACCUGGGAUG